Schistocerca nitens (vagrant locust) is the source of this 719-nucleotide long non-coding RNA. RefSeq lists it as uncharacterized. Lineage: Eukaryota; Metazoa; Arthropoda; Insecta; Orthoptera; Acrididae. The transcript is spliced from 3 exons. The record is from RefSeq and is a predicted model, not a curated record.
CCCGGUUGUGCAGCGGGCGUUGUCGUCGGUCGAGGUCGGCCGUGUCCAGUAUAAAUACAGGGCCAGGCCAGCUGAUCGGCAUCAGUUCGCAGCUCCAACAGCCGCUACAUCAUGAAGGCUUUCGUUUGCUCUUUCCUCGUGGUGCUGCUGGUGGCGGCCGUGUUCGCCCAGGAGAAGGCCAAGGAGACCCUGAAGGGCGCCGAGGCCUACUACGCCUACGCCGCCCCCUACGCCUACAGCGCCUUCGGCUACCCCGCCGUCAGCGCCUACUCCGCCUACCCCUAUGCUGCCGCCGGCUACCCCUACUACUACCGCUGAACACGGACGUUGUAGUGGGGAAGUCAUCGAUGUAAUAAACGUCUUUACAAUAAAUAAAAUUUGUAUAUAGCAAAAUUUAAUUAUGUCUGUUUGCUUACAUCAGCCAUACACCCUUAUCAGAAAGAAGUCCAACAGUCUAGUAUGACUGUAACAGACAGAAGAAACAGAAAUGCUUACAUAGCAAGUCUGAUAAAGAGGAAGGUUAUAGGUAGCAGAAGUCUAAAGUAACUGUAUAUGAGCUAGAAAUGCAGAAAAUUAAAUCCUCUUCUACGAUAAUAUCACACGCUGGACUAAACACCAUCUGGGAAACCUGUGCUUGGCGCUGCAAAUGUAGCCGUUAUGAUUGUUGCAGUGGGGAUUGCCUUCGCUGUGUAACAGCAGUUGAGCUGAUUCCAGACUCA